This 459-nucleotide ribosomal RNA is filed under the name uncultured Anoxybacillus sp. RNAcentral describes it as "bacterial SSU rRNA". It matches the Rfam family "Bacterial small subunit ribosomal RNA", at positions 923 to 1382 of the family's 1533-position model. Lineage: Bacteria; Bacillati; Bacillota; Bacilli; Caryophanales; Anoxybacillaceae. The record is from RNAcentral.
GCACAAGCGGUGGAGCAUGUGGUUUAAUUCGAAGCAACGCGAAGAACCUUACCAGGUCUUGACAUCCCCUGACAACCCGAGAGAUCGGGCGUUCCCCUUCGGGGGACAGGGUGACAGGUGGUGCAUGGUUGUCGUCAGCUCGUGUCGUGAGAUGUUGGGUUAAGUCCCGCAACGAGCGCAACCCUCGACCUUAGUUGCCAGCAUUCAGUUGGGCACUCUAAGGUGACUGCCGGCUAAAAGUCGGAGGAAGGUGGGAUGACGUCAAAUCAUCAUGCCCCUUAUGACCUGGGCUACACACGUGCUACAAUGGUUGGUACAACGAGUUGCGAGUCGGUGACGGCGAGCUAAUCUCUUAAAGCCAAUCUCAGUUCGGAUUGUAGGCUGCAACUCGCCUACAUGAAGUCGGAAUCGCUAGUAAUCGCGGAUCAGCACGCCGCGGUGAAUACGUUCCCGGGCCUU